GAUGAACGCUGGCGGCGUGCCUAAUACAUGCAAGUCGAGCGAAUGGAUUAAGAGCUUGCUCUUAUGAAGUUAGCGGCGGACGGGUGAGUAACACGUGGGUAACCUGCCCAUAAGACUGGGAUAAAUCCGGGAAACCGGGGCAAAUACCGGAUAACAUUUUGAACCGCAUGGGUCGAAAGUUAAAGGCGGCUUCGGCUGUCACUUAUGGAUGGACCCGCGUCGCAUUAGCUAGUUGGUGAGGUAACGGCUCACCAAGGCAACGAUGCGUAGCCGACCUGAGAGGGUGAUCGGCCACACUGGGACUGAGACACGGCCCAGACUCCUACGGGAGGCAGCAGUAGGGAAUCUUCCGCAAUGGACGAAAGUCUGACGGAGCAACGCCGCGUGAGUGAUGAAGGCUUUCGGGUCGUAAAACUCUGUUGUUAGGGAAGAACAAGUGCUAGUUGAAUAAGCUGGCACCUUGACGGUACCUAACCAGAAAGCCACGGCUAACUACGUGCCAGCCGCCGCCGUAA
This 515-nucleotide ribosomal RNA is filed under the name uncultured bacterium. RNAcentral's name for it is "partial 16S ribosomal RNA". It matches the Rfam family "Bacterial small subunit ribosomal RNA", at positions 28 to 523 of the family's 1533-position model. The record is from RNAcentral.